GGUCACUCAGGUCCAACCGAUAAAUGGCAACAGUUGGUGCCCUGAAACAGGGACCUGAAGGAUAAUUUUGAAAGUGAUGUGGAGACCCUCACAGAAGGAGAUGUCCAUGGAUUCCCCAAAACAUUAUGAGUUCCUCUUCAGAGCAUCAGGCCAAGGAAAACCAAUGAACAUGUCCAACAAAUUGAUGACUGCCCCUCAAAGGGAGACUCCUAAAGAUGAACAAAUGGAACCAGCUACAUACAAGAUACAUGCUCUUACUUUUAAGAAGAAAUGUUCUAAUCCAUAUUAUGUGAAAAGUUCUGUCCCUACUUGGGGACAAACUAAAGCAUUAUCAGUAAAAGGUGAAAACGUCUUGUGAUCCACUCAAAGUCCCAUCACUCCAGAGAAUCUUUUCUUGGCCAUGGCUGCUAUCCUUACCUGUGCAUCUUUGGAUACUCCUGUCUCCAACAACAAUUAAAUUCUUACAAAACUUCUGACGCCAUGGUCAUGCUGGGAUUGCUACAUUUAAAAAAUAAAAAAGGGGGAAUUGUCGGAGCCAGCAGUGGGACCUUGCCUGUGUGAGUUGGUAUCUGAGAAAGCUCCAAGGAAGUGAGACAAAAGUCUCAGGACCAGAACUUGUGUGUGUGAUUUGGUACCUGGUCUUAUGAGAAAACUCCAAAGAACUGAGGCAAAAGUCUCAGAACCAGAUGUCCAGAAAAACAACAGUGCUCAAGUUUCCCCAGAUGGCUUCAUGUCCUUCAGAUGUAAAUAAGAAGGUUAUGCUGACCGUGUGCUUCUCCUGCUUCUUUGUUCCAGUUUUAAAAGAGAUAUAACAAAGUUAAUUUUAACUGUGCUUCCUUGUACUAAUGUAACCUUGACAUGUAAUACUUGGCAUGCUUUUUCUGACCAAAUGCUC
This is a long non-coding RNA of Castor canadensis (American beaver), 895 nucleotides long. RefSeq lists it as uncharacterized. Lineage: Eukaryota; Metazoa; Chordata; Mammalia; Rodentia; Castoridae. The record is from RefSeq and is a predicted model, not a curated record.